GACGAACGCUGGCGGCGUGCUUAACACAUGCAAGUCGAACGGAAAGGCCCUGCUUUUGUGGGGUGCUCGAGUGGCGAACGGGUGAGUAACACGUGAGUAACCUGCUCUUGACUUUGGGAUAACUUCAGGAAACUGGGGCUACUAUCGUAUAGGAGCUCCUGCUGCAUGGUGGGGGUUGGAAAGUGUCGGCGGUUGGGGAUGGACUCGCGGCUUAUCAGCUUGUUGGUGGGGUAGUGGCUUACCAAGGCUUUGACGGGUAGCCGGCCUGGGAGGGUGACCGGCCACAUUGGGACUGGGAUACGGCCCAGACGCCAACGGGAGGAAGCAGUGGGGAAUAGUGCAAAAUGGGCGGAAGCCGGAUGCAGCAACGCCGCGUGCGGGAUGACGGCCUUCGGGUUGUAAACCGCUUUCGCCUGUGACGAAGCGUGAGUGACGGUAAUGGGUAAAGAAGCACCGGCUAACUACGU
RNAcentral lists this ribosomal RNA (467 nucleotides) under uncultured bacterium. RNAcentral's name for it is "partial 16S ribosomal RNA". It matches the Rfam family "Bacterial small subunit ribosomal RNA", at positions 28 to 506 of the family's 1533-position model. The record is from RNAcentral.